GAUGAACGCUGGCGGCGUGCCUAAUACAUGCAGGUCGAGCGAACAGACGAGGAGCUUGCUCCUCUGACGUUAGCGGCGGACGGGUGAGUAACACGUGGAUAACCUACCUAUAAGACUGGGAUAACUUCGGGAAACCGGAGCUAAUACCGGAUAAUAUAUUGAACCGCAUGGUUCAAUAGUGAAAGACGGUUUUGCUGUCACUUAUAGAUGGAUCCGCGCCGCAUUAGCUAGUUGGUAAGGUAACGGCUUACCAAGGCUACGAUGCGUAGCCGACCUGAGAGGGUGAUCGGCCACACUGGAACUGAGACACGGUCCAGACUCCUACGGGAGGCAGCAGUAGGGAAUCUUCCGCAAUGGGCGAAAGCUUGACGGAGCAACGCCGCGUGAGUGAUGAAGGUCUUCGGAUCGUAAAACUCUGUUAUUAGGGAAGAACAAAUGUGUAAGUAACUAUGCACGUCUUGACGGUACCUAAUCAGAAAGCCACGGCUAACUACGUG
This 497-nucleotide ribosomal RNA is filed under the name uncultured bacterium. RNAcentral's name for it is "partial 16S ribosomal RNA". It matches the Rfam family "Bacterial small subunit ribosomal RNA", at positions 28 to 507 of the family's 1533-position model. The record is from RNAcentral.